AUUUUGGAAAACAGACGGGAUGGAGGGCGCCAGUGCAUAGUUAAAUCCGCUUUUAUUCCUUCUCCAUCAAGGCCAACCAAGCAGGUCUGGCCUUUUGCAUCGGGCCUCCUGCUCAAACGGGGUUGGACUAGAAGACCUCCAAGGUCCCUUCCGGCUCUCUUGUCUACAGAGAUUCUCCAGGUCUCCCGGUCGUCCCAAAGGGGCUUUUCCCACAAGGCAACUUUUGGACUUUCUUGGCACUUUUUUUUCCCUCCCCUUGACAACAUUUCACUUCUCAGCCAAGAAGCUUCCUCAGUUCGCGAAUAAGCUUCUUCCUGAACCGAGGAAGCUUCUUGGCUGAGAAGCGAAAUGUUGUCAAGGGGAGGGGAAAAAAAGUGCCAAGAAAGUCCAAACGUUGGGAAAAGCCCCUUUGGGACGGGAGUCUCUCUUCUUUCUGUCAUUCCCAUUUCAGUCGCAGGGCCCUUCUGCCCAAAAAAUUUUUUUGGGGGGGGCUUUGCUCCUCCUUUACGCUGCCCCCCCUCCCUCCUCCAAGUCUCUGCCAGGCACGGAGAGCUUCUGACGUCGUGGCGAGCUUUCCUCUUCCUUCUGCAGCUUCCUCCUCCUCUUCCUCCUCCCCCUCUUCCUCUUCCUCAACCCGGACGAGCCGGCGGUGGGGUGGCCCUUUGGCGGGACCGUCUGCAUGCUCUCAGGCAGACCAGCAGCAGCAGCAGCAGCAGCAUCCAGCUGGCUCCCCCCUCGGCCAGGCUCGUCACUCAAGAUGGCAUUGAAAGAGUCCCCCUGUCCCAUGGGGGGGGCCUGGGCACCCCCCUUCCCCAGUCCCUGCACAGCCGGCUGCUUGCGGGGGGAUCCCUCCCCAGUGGGGGGCUGCUGGUGGGCGAGGGGGGUGCGCGCCUUGUCCCGGGGGCCUUUUUUCUUCCUUUGCUUCUUCGCCCCCUUCCCCUUCUGGCCUCGGCCUCCCGCCUUCCCUUGGCCCUUCCGGAGCCUUGGGGGCAAGGGGCUCGCCCUGGCCUGGCUGGGCUGCCAGGUGGGAGGAGGGGGAGAGGUCCCCCAGGGUCGGAAGGGGGUCUGGGGGGGCAGAGUGGUGGUGGUGGUGGAAGAGGCCGGUUGGGGCCGGCGGGUGGCGAGGACGUCGAUGCGCUCUCCUCCGUAGUCAAACAUCACCGGCUCCUUCAGAACCGCCACGGCCGUCCGGCUGUAGUUCCUGCACCUAGGAAGGAAACAGCCGGGUAGCGGUGGGGUCCUUUGCAAAGGGGGGGGGNNNNNNNNNNN
RNAcentral lists this long non-coding RNA (1269 nucleotides) under Notechis scutatus (mainland tiger snake). Its description in RNAcentral is "lncRNA (ENSNSUG00000004095.1)". Lineage: Eukaryota; Metazoa; Chordata; Lepidosauria; Squamata; Elapidae. The record is from RNAcentral.